GGGGAAUAUUGGACAAUGGGGGCAACCCUGAUCCAGCCAUGCCGCGUGUGUGAAGAAGGCCUUUUGGUUGUAAAGCACUUUAAGCAGUGAAGAAGACUCCAUGGUUAAUACCCAUGGACGAUGACAUUAGCUGCAGAAUAAGCACCGGCUAACUCUGUGCCAGCAGCCGCGGUAAUACAGAGGGUGCAAGCGUUAAUCGGAAUUACUGGGCGUAAAGCGAGCGUAGGUGGCUUGAUAAGUCAGAUGUGAAAUCCCCGGGCUUAACCUGGGAACUGCAUCUGAUACUGUUAGGCUAGAAUAGGUGAGAGGAAGGUAGAAUUCCAGGUGUAGCGGUGAAAUGCGUAGAGAUCUGGAGGAAUACCGAUGACGAAGGCAGCCUUCUGGCAUCAUAUUGACACUGAGGUUCGAAAGCGUGGGUAGCAAAC
RNAcentral lists this ribosomal RNA (425 nucleotides) under uncultured bacterium. RNAcentral's name for it is "bacterial SSU rRNA". It matches the Rfam family "Bacterial small subunit ribosomal RNA", at positions 356 to 773 of the family's 1533-position model. The record is from RNAcentral.